Molecule: ribosomal RNA, 477 nt
Filed under: uncultured bacterium
Lineage: Bacteria
Description: bacterial SSU rRNA
Rfam family: Bacterial small subunit ribosomal RNA
Source: RNAcentral
GAUGAACGCUGGCGGCGUGCCUAACACAUGCAAGUCGAGCGUGAACCCUGCGAAUGAAACUUCGGUCGAUUUUGCAGGGGGAAAGCGGCGGACGGGUGAGUAACGCGUAGGUAACCUGCCCCAUACUGAGGGAUAGCCUCGGGAAACCGGGAUUAAUACCUCAUAACACCGUAUAUUCGCAUGGAUGUGCGGUCAAAGAUUUAUCGGUAUGGGAUGGGCCUGCGUCUGAUUAGCUGGUUGGUGGGGUAACGGCCUACCAAGGCGACGAUCAGUAGCCGACCUGAGAGGGUGAUCGGCCACAUUGGAACUGAGACACGGUCCAAACUCCUACGGGAGGCAGCAGUGGGGAAUAUUGCACAAUGGGCGAAAGCCUGAUGCAGCAACGCCGCGUGAGCGAAGAAGGCCUUUGGGCGUAAAGCUCUGUCGGGUAGGAAGAUAAUGACGGUACUACCCGAGGAACGCCCGGCUAACUACGUG